CUUUGUAGUGGCUGGGUGUAUUGAUACACCAUCCAAAGUGCAAUUAAUGACUUCACCAUGCUCAAAGGGAUAUUCAAUGUCUGCUUUUUUUAUUUUUACCCAUCUACUAAUAGGUACCCUUUGCGAGGUAUUGGAAAACCUCCCUGGUCAAUGUGGUUGAACCUGUGUUUGAAAUUCACUGCUCGACUGAGGGACCUUACAGAUACUUGUAUGUAUGGGGUACAGAGAUGAGGUAGUCAUUCAAAAAUCAUGUUUAACACUAUUAUUGCACACUGAGUCCAUGCAACUUAUUAUGUGACUUGUGAAGCACAUAUUUACUCCUAAACUUAUUUAGGCUUGACAUAAAGGGAUUGAAUUCUUAUUGACUCAAGACAGUUUAGCUUUACAUUUUUAAUUUGUAAAAAAAUAUAUAUAAAAAUACAUCUAAACAUAAUUCCACUUUGACAUUGGGGACUAUUGCGUGUAGGCCAGUGACCAAAAAAAGCAACAUUUAAUCAUUUUAUGUUCAGUCUGUAACACAACAAUAUUUUGAAAAAGUCAAGGGGAAUGAAUACUUACUGAAGGCACUGUAUUUAGCCCCUUGGCAUGCGUAUUUGGAUUGGACUGAGUUUGAACCCCCCCCAACUACACACACACACACGAUCUGUCUUCUUUGCUAUGCAGUGUAAUGGGCUUGAACUGAAGGCUUGCUCCUGGCUUUAUCCUCUUGACCCCUCAAAUGUAGCAGAUAAUGAAGAAAGGUGCAAAAUGUAACAAUGUUGUUCUGUAUUUUCCAACAGGCUACAUUACUUAGGUGAGGUGACCGGAAAAGAAGCAGCAGGUUUACCUCCUAUAUCUGCUCAGCCAAGCUCUGCCACAUGAAGAGAUGUACAGUAGACAAGGAAAAAUCAUGUGGAAAGGGAAGGAGGAGACUGGGGCUGUAAGAUGUCUGCUCCAGUGCACCUAAUCUUGCACCUCUCAUCCCUACACCUGUACUGGGAUGACCGGCAGUUGCAGGACCAAUCUUGACACCAUGGUGUCAUUUUAAAUGAACAGAAGGGACACAACGGGAAUGCUGCUGGACAGUUAUAUUUAAACUUUUGUACUAACUUUCAAUAAAUGUAGAUUAUUUUUUUAAGCGUGUGUCUUUAUUGUAUAAGCUUUGCUAUUAAGAUCAGGUAUGUUUCUAAAACAAGUAUUGUUUGUAUGUGGUGUAGCGGCAGUUCAUUCUGUAUUGUCAACUGUACAUGGUACAGAUACUAUUUUUACUUGAUUGAGAGUGUUAGACAUUUAUUUUUAUCUCCUUCAAUUUACUGAAUGUCAAAUUCCUGUUUAGGGGGUUUAACGGAAGUGGAGUAAUGAGGUGUAGAGUACCUGUCAUGUUUUCUGACAGAGGAGGCAUGAUGUUGGGAAGAAAUGCAAGAUAAGUAGGAAACCAUGCCAUGGCUCAUAACCUGGCAAGUUCAGCAGUUACCUACAGAACUACUGACACACCAGUAGGCAUACUGAAUUGUUUUAGUACAGCCUAGGCAGUUUUAUUAAUACAUAAGUAAUGUGUUCUGUGUUGUAAGGGCAUCAUUCUACCAAGGAGUCUAGACCUUUAUAAUAGUCUGCUUGCCUUGCUACCAGGGUUGUGGUUCAACGCCUCCAGCUCUCCCUUCCUACUACAUUGGUAACAGUAUAUGGCAUUGAUAAGGGAAUUUAUGUUUAUGGUAAUGACUAAAGAAUUCUACCCUGAAAUGCAAUUAUUAGAUUAUAAAAAAAUAUAUAUAUAUAUAAAAUGAAUAAUUAGACAAAUGUAAUUAUUAGAUUAUGUAACAUGUAUAAUGAAUUAGAGCGAUAAACUUCAGUCCAAUAAGGUUUGGUCAAGACAAGUAGAAGUGUGUGACUAAGAAAACACAGAGAACAAUUAAAAUAUGCAUGACGUGACCUGGUUAGAACUCUGGGAAAUUUACGACAGGAAAGGGAGUCGUGUCAAGGUCCCUCGUACAGGUUGGACUGUGCUGUAAGCCACAGAAUGAGACAUUUGUAACACUGUUUGUUUCCAUAGAGGUCCUAAUGUGUGUUUAAGCUCUCGUGUCUUCCUGCAGGUAAAAUGUAGGGCGGUGGGCCUUGCUGGAGAACAUGGAGGGCCUGUUCCUGGCAGUGGGUGAGAUUGUGGAUGGGUGUAUGCAGAGAACUCUCCUCACCCCAAAGCAGGGGUCUCUGUAUUCUCAUCACAACAGUGCCCUCUGACUCUGGCCAAAUCAACUUUUCCAUCUAGAAUAUAGGACAAUGGUAGAAGACAUGGCUGGACACUCAUACCUGGAUACUGUCCACGGCUACCCCAUCACACCAUGGGGUAGCCAAGAUAUAGGAAGACCGGAAACAAUUUGUUGGCUACCUACCACAGAGUUUACCAGUUAAAUACUCUGUUACAUAAGUUUAGGUUUCUGUGACUGGAUUGGUUCUCAGGCCAAUAUAAAUCAACCGUCCUACUAGUCUCCACCCCUAGACAAUACAAUAGCUCCUCAAUGUAAGGUUGUUUAGGGUAAGGGAGGAAGCCCAUUUUCUAAGCAUUUAGA
Molecule: long non-coding RNA, 2543 nt
Organism: Oncorhynchus tshawytscha (Chinook salmon)
Lineage: Eukaryota; Metazoa; Chordata; Actinopteri; Salmoniformes; Salmonidae
Source: Ensembl